AUGAAACAAAACAGGAUAAUAUGUAAGUGUCGUUUUGACGUUGCUAUGAUGUCGAAUACACAGUGGUUGAUGAUGUGCGUUUCAGAACAUUUACCUCGAUGGUACAUUGAUGUUUCAUUUCGUUUUGUCCCAGAACGGACUUCCGUACUAGGGUCGCAAAUGUCCUGGGGACAGACAGGGCAAGAGUCACCAUCCUGCCUGGCUCUCCCCGCUCUGCAGCUGAUGGACAGUGCCAGACAGUCAGCUACAUGGUCUCUGGGAAUGUCAGCACAGAGCUUCUGAUGUCAGUCAAAACCAGCGGGGAGAUGGGAGUGUAUAGAGAGUCUGAUACAUGUACAAGUAAGUACGCUCUGGACUGUAUGUGAGUCCUCCUCUCUUGUUCAAUAAAUAUUGAUUUUGAAGGAGAGCGAUUGUGAAAAUCUACUCAAGACUGUAGGUUUCAUAUAUACAUAUAUAUUUUUUAGAAUUUUCAUGAACGCAUGGCAGAUUUUAAAUUAUAAAUUCACCCAAAAAUGAAAAUUCAGUCAUUAUCAACUCUCCCCCGUGCCGAUGGAAAGUCGGGGCAAGUUACAUAGUCAAGUCAUUUCUGGAGCUUCACAGCAAACCAGUGUUGCAGCAUUUCCUAGUAGAGGGAAACUUGUUUUAAAAUGUAAUAAUGGCUCACAACAUCCAAGUCUCAAGAAGCCCUGAGAUUUAUUUGAAAACACAGUAUUUACACCCUUUCAAAGCCAAAUUAUUCACUAAGUAGCUGCUAAGCUAACACUGUUAACAAGCCCUGUAUAAGCCUGGCUGUGUGCCGAGGGUGUAAAUAUUUGUCUUUCCAAAUCAAUGGGGGAUGUCGGGGCUUCUGAAGACUUAAAUUAUGCCGGUUGAGCUGUAUGGAGCCAUUUUAUAUUUGACUGUUUUUUUCAGUUACUUUUUACAUUUUCAAACAAGUCCCCGGCUUCUUCACUUUAUUAGAAGAAUGCUUCAAGACAAGACGGUGACAUAAUUUGAAUGACAUUAGAGGCUGGAGGCUGUUGAAUUCAACAUCACUUGCACAAUGCAGUCUCACUUAUUACAUUGAUGCAUUACUUCCUCUUGUCAUAACCAGUUUAUGUUAUUUGAUAGGCGCUUUACAGCAACAAAGUUUUGGAAACUCGUAAUAAAUUCUAUGAAAACGAUCCCUGUGUAUGUAAAUUGAACACACUGAGUCACGCUUAACUUUCAUUGUGAUGCGAUGCCCCCAGGAGGUGAAGGAGCUGCAGGAAGUGAAGGAGGUGCAGGAGGGGCAGGAAAUGCAGGUCUGCAGCUGCUACCAGGACCUCUUCUUCUUGGCUUGAUGUUUGCUGUCGCCCGCCUGCUGCCAUCUACAGCUUAUUUAUAGCCUCCCUGUUUAUCAUGAGUGCAGACACAUUGAUCCUGUUAUUGUAAAACUGUGAAUAUGUUUAUGAAAUGUAGCCUGACAAGUGAUACAGUGGUCAUCUGAUUAAUCAUCUGGCCAAUAAUGACUUUCUUUUUCCAGCUUUUGUCAACAAAUAGUGAUCUUGCAUUUUUAAAGUUAACACUUUGGGUAAGAGGCACAAUGUGAGAAUAUCAGUUCAUUUAAAUACAGUGCAAAAUUCAUAGUUCAUACAUUCUUGUCGUAAUAAAAAGCAUAGGUAAUGUAUAAAAUGUACAAACACAGAUUUAUAUUGGAUGUUGAUCAUCGCUGCUCCCUUCAAUUUAGUCAGUGAAGUCAGGUCAUUAGAGUCGAGCAGACAGCAGAAGCACAAUGUUUUUUUCUACUUUGUGACUAAAUGUUAUUUACAGCGAACUGAAGUUGCUGUGCCCACUCACAUGUGGCUUAUUUUGAUAGUCAGAUGGAAAUCCAUCACAUUUAGCACUAAUCAUUUUAUUCAACAAGCUAUUCAUUGAUUGUUAACUUAAGCCUUUAUAGAAAUGAAAUUUUUCUGCAACAAUUAUAGCUCAUUUGUAUUCACUUGGACUGUUACUGUUAGUGGGUGGGUGAAGUUAAUGCUGUACAUUUUCCGAUAUUGAGACUUUAUUUUCUCUAUUUAUGCACUAUCCAUAUUUCCAUGUCAGAUCGUGUGUAAAUAUCUUGAAAUUUGUGAAUAAAAUACAAUAAUGUUUGUACGCCAGUAAU
Molecule: long non-coding RNA, 2125 nt
Filed under: Sparus aurata (gilthead seabream)
Lineage: Eukaryota; Metazoa; Chordata; Actinopteri; Spariformes; Sparidae
Description: lncRNA (ENSSAUG00010014463.1)
Source: RNAcentral